Molecule: ribosomal RNA, 450 nt
Filed under: uncultured bacterium
Lineage: Bacteria
Description: bacterial SSU rRNA
Rfam family: Bacterial small subunit ribosomal RNA
Source: RNAcentral
AACGAACGCUGGCGGCAGGCCUAACACAUGCAAGUCGAGCGCCCCGCAAGGGGAGCGGCGGACGGGUGAGUAACACGUGGGAAUUUUCCUCAAGGUACGGAACAACUCAGGGAAACUUGGGCUAAUACCGUAUGAUGCAGAGAUGCCAAAGAUUUAUCGCCUUGGGAUAAGCCCGCGUCAGAUUAGGUAGUUGGUGAGGUAACGGCUCACCAAGCCUGUGAUCUGUAGCUGGUCUGAGAGGACGAUCAGCCACAUUGGGACUGAGACACGGCCCAAACUCCUACGGGAGGCAGCAGUGGGGAAUCUUGCGCAAUGGGCGAAAGCCUGACGCAGCCAUGCCGCGUGAAUGAUGAAGGUCUUAGGAUUGUAAAGUUCUUUCGCUCGUGACGAUGAUGACGGUAACGAGAGAAGAAGCCCCGGCUAACUUCGUGCCAGCCGCCGCGGUAAAAC